RNAcentral lists this ribosomal RNA (465 nucleotides) under uncultured bacterium. Its description in RNAcentral is "partial 16S ribosomal RNA". It matches the Rfam family "Bacterial small subunit ribosomal RNA", at positions 28 to 507 of the family's 1533-position model. The record is from RNAcentral.
GACGAACGCUGGCGGCGUGCUUAACACAUGCAAGUCGAACAGUAAGGCCCCUUCGGGGGUACACGCGUGGCGAACGGGUGAGUAACACGUGAGCAACCUGCCCUUGACUCUGGAAUAACAGUUGGAAACAGCUGCUAAUACUGGAUAUUCAUCGUCUCCUUCCUGGGGGGUGGUGGAAGGCUCCGGCGGUCAGGGAUGGGCUCGCGGCCUAUCAGCUUGUUGGUGAGGUAAUGGCUCACCAAGGCUUCGACGGGUAGCCGGCCUGAGAGGGGGACCGGCCACACUGGGACUGAGAUACGGCCCAGACUCCUACGGGAGGCAGCAGUGGGGAAUAUUGCACAAUGGGCGCAAGCCUGAUGCAGCAACGCCGCGUGCGGGAUGACGGCCGUCGGGUUGUAAACCGCUUUCAGUAGGGACGAAGGGUGACUGACGGUACCUACAGAAGAAGGACCGGCUAACUACGUG